RNA transcript from Hibiscus syriacus, 2824 nucleotides. It is a transcript of the gene named probable disease resistance protein At1g61310, with no coding region annotated. The transcript has 3 exons. The record is from RefSeq and is a predicted model, not a curated record. NCBI's taxonomy places the organism in Eukaryota, Viridiplantae, Streptophyta, Magnoliopsida, Malvales, Malvaceae.
CCCUGUGUCUUCUUUUCUCUCUCUCAAAGUUGGAAUACGAAGAAAUAAAACUCUAAAGCUCAUUACUCACUUGCUUUGGAUAUCCACAAGAGGAGCGACUGUUCUGUUGCUAAGGAUUUACUCCCCCGUCGUUCUAUAGUUUGUUCUGCUUCUUAGCAAAUUUUCAAGGGAAAAAAUGGACUGUCUUUUUGCCUUUGUGGGAUCUCUUGCUGGCAAAGCUGUUGAGUACUCUGUCGAGCCCACUGCACGACAACUUAGUUACUUAUUCAAGCCCAGGAGCAAGUUUCAGAACCUCCGGAGAAAAGUUCAAGACCUAAAGGAUGCAAGAGAAAGGGUGCAACAAUCUGUUGAAGCGGCUAACAGGAAGGGGGAGGUGAUUUUUGAGAAUGUUCAAAGUUGGUUGGAAGCGGUGAAUGAGAAGAUCUCCGAGGAUGCUGCAGCACAAUUGCAAAAGGAUGAAGAGAAAGCGAUGAAGAGGUGUUUUGCUGGAUUUCGCGCUGAUUUCAAGUCCAGUUACCAACUUAGCAAGAAAGCGGACAAGGAGGCCGAAGCUAUAGCUCAACUCUUGAUCCAAAAGGAAAACUUUGAUGGAGUUUCCCACCUUCCUGCAAUUGAAGCGAUAGACACUAUCAGACUUGUUGAAGAGUACGAGGCCUUCGAAUCAAGAAGGGGUGCUUUUGAUGAGGUCAUGAGUGCAUUGGAAGAUGAUAGAGUCAGCAUAAUCGGAAUGUACGGUAUGGGGGGUGUGGGUAAAACCACCCUCGUCAAAGAGGUCGCUGGAAAAGCCAACCAGGACAGCUUUUUAGUGAAGUGGUAUUGGUUACAAUAAAGCAAACACCAGACAUGCGGAAGAUCCAGGAGGAGAUUGCUGAGAAGCUAGGCAUGACAAUCAGCGAGAACAGCACAGAUGUGAGAGUCGCUCGACUUCGUGAAAGACUAGGGAAAGAGAACAGGGUUCUUGUUAUUUUGGAUGAUAUUUGGAAGUUCCUGGAUAUCAGGGCACUCGGAAUUCCUUCAGCAGACCAACACAAGGGAUGCAAGAUCUUAAUAACUUCGAGAAAGCUCGUUGUAUUGAAGUCGAUGGGUUCUCAAAAAAGCCUUCCAAUUGAUGUGCUGAAAGAAGAUGAAGCAUGGAACCUGUUUAAGGACGUGGCUGGUCCUAUUGCUGAAAGAUCUGACUUGCAAUCUACAGCAAUGGAAGUCGCCCAAAAAUGUGCAGGACUGCCACUCGCUAUUACAACAGUUGCAAAGGCUUUGAAACAUAAAGAGAAUUUAUAUGAAUGGAAGGAUGCUCUGGAGCCAGCUAAAACCCUCUGAAAUAAACUCCGAAGGCAUAACAGCUGAAGCAUAUUCAGCCAUAGAGAUGAGCUACAGAUAUUUGGAAAGGGAGGAACUUAAAUACACUUUCUUGCUCUGCAGUAUAAUGGAUCAUGAUGCUGCCAUCGAAGACUUACUGAAAUAUUGUAGGGGCCUGGGUUUAUUUCAUGGCCUUGACACGAUGGAAAAAGUGCGCAACAGAGUGUUGACACUGGUUAACGAGCUCAGAGACUCUUCCCUGUUACUUGCUGGUUCUACAUCUGAAAGCUUUGAUAUGCAUGAUGUUGUCCGCGAUGUUGCCAUUGCAAUUGCUUCUAGGGAACGUCGUUGGCUUGCUUUAGGAAAGGAAGAUGUAUUUGAAGAGUGGAAGGAUACAAUGAGAAACUCGCAUCUUGUUAGCUUAAAAUAUGCUAAGGUUAGUCAGCUUCCGGAUGAGUUGGAAUGUCCAAACCUUACAUUUUUCUUCAUGCAUGGCUUUGUGGAAGUUCCCAACAACUUUUUUAAGGGAAUGCAAAGACUCAAUGUCUUGGAAUUUGAUGGAACAAAUUUUACAACUUUGCCUUCCUCCCUUGGUUUCUUGAAAACUCUCUGUACAUUGCGUUUGAUAGAUUGUGGUCUGAAAGAUAUAGUCAUCUUUGGAGAGUUGGAAAAUUUGGAAAUCCUUGACCUUCGUUACUCUGGAAUAGAAAUGUUACCGGUGGAGAUUGGACAGUUGACAAAGCUAUAAUUGCUAGACUUGAGUGAUUGUUACCAUCUUAAAGUAAUACCACCAAAUGUGUUAUCUAAGUUAUCCAAAUUAGAAGAAUUAUACCUAUAUGAUAGCUUUGAUGGAUGGGAGAUUGAGGGAAUUGAGAAUCCAAGAAGCAAAGCUAGUCUUAUGGAGUUGCAUCAUUUGCCUCGUCUAGCAACUUUGGAAGUACAUAUUCCUGAUGUGGAAGCUAUACCGAAGGAUAACUUGUUUCUCGGAAAGAUGGAAAGGUUCAAGAUUUCAAUUGGAUAUGAGAAGUGGGAUUCUUAUUUUGACAGAGAGAUGAAGACACCAAGAAUGUUGAAGCUGGAGAUUAAUAAAAGUAUUGAUUUGGUUGAAGGCAUUUAUAAAUUGUUGUCCUGAAAAUUGAAAGUCUAUAUCUGCAUAUGAGGAAAGAUGUUGUGGAAAGGCUUUACGAUCUAAAUGCUGAAUCUUUUGAGCUGUUAAGAUUCAUAAAAGUCGAGAAUCUCCAAUAUGAUAGCAUUAAUUGUUGAAAAGGAAGAGAUUAGAGAGAAUGACACUCUGAAAUUUGAUAAAUUACGCAUCAAGUUGGAUACUCUGAAUGAAUUCAAUGGCCCGUGGUAUAUACAAAACACAUUUCAAUCCGUCACAUGGCUUUUUGAUAAAAAGAUUUCGUGUCCUGCCUCGAAAGAGUUGGAGUUGAACUCAAUCUACGACAUUGAGAAAAUAUGGCAUAUUGAUGAUGUUGACGAAAACGGGUAAAGAAAACGAAAGAACACGAGAAUUUUACGAGGUUCG